CCAUGAUGGGAACUCCUAAUCAUUGAAAUAUUUUUCUAAUGUUUGAGUGGAUGCAUUGGAAGAAUAGGCUGUGUGUGUGUGUGUACACAUGCCUACACAUAUGUACAUACACCUAUUUGUUUGUAUUGAUACCCAUUAAAAUGUCUGUAAACUAUUUUUAAUUGAAUGAUAUUUUAUCUUCCAUAUACUCUCAUUUAACCCCAUUUCUCUACAGUUGGACAUCUAGGUUGUGUGUGAUUAGUCACUUUCACUUAAUACUCCAUGAUGAUCAUAUUGUCCAUUUUGUAAGCACACUUGAAAGAACAAUCCAGGACCAACUUGUCUUUCUCUCAACAGCCUUUGGUUGCCAAACAUGGACACAUUUCAGAUUACUGUGUGCCAGGUUUGUCUGGCACCAUUUCCCCUAACAUUCCAAAGAUGUGAUGCGUGGGUGAACAUUUGUAACCAGUACACUCUUAGAACUCUGCACUUCAAAACUGGGCUUCACCCAGAUUUGAAGUGUCAGAGACAAAUUGAAAUAGCAAUGCCUGCUCUUCGUGAUGGUGGUGAGGGUGUGGGUGGGGGUGCAGGCCAGGCAGGGGUGACGUUGCUUUCAUCCUCCAGCCGUUGUUUCUAAAAUAGUAAUAAACAGUUUCCUUGUUCCUUCAUCUGGGAUGCUCUUUGGUCGGGUUUUGCUGUCAUGUUCUUUAGAAGCGUCCGAACACCAAACAUAUGUGAACAUAUGAUGCUUAGUAAAUGAUACCACCAUUUAAAAUACUUACUCUCAAAAUUAAAUGUGCUAAAAUGUAGGUACAGAUACGUCUCUUACAAUUUUCCAGUUGCUCGUUGCCCUGCUGAAGGAAGGCUGCUUCUUGAUUACCUCGCACCCAUAUUGGGCUGCCCACCCCUGUUCAUUGGGACUCAUGUGGUGCCUUUGCCUAUCUUCCCCUCUUUCUCUUGAACUACUGUGUAUUGCGAGUGGGUAGGACAGAUAAUUAUUUUUUUUUUUUAUUCACAGGUUUCCAAGAAAAAUUAAGACCUGGUGUGGAUCCUGAGAUCUUGGACAUACUGUCUAAUGCUAUUGGCUUUAUUUCCUCUGGGGCUAGUUGUCCUGUUUGUGAAUACUAUUCUUUUUGGUGUUGGAGUUCACGGCAUCUGGCAGUCCCUGGUUGCCCAUCUAAGGACAAGUUCACAGGUCUCUGGAUCAAGAGAGACUAUAACAAACCUGAUGCAGAAACAAAUCAUCUUCUGACUGGCUUUGAAUUUGCUGCACUGAUUGAUACAGCUUCCCCAUAGGGAGAAGUUUCUACCCUCAAAGGAGAGAGGCCAAUGGAGGGGGCUGAUAAGCCUGGCUCAUGACCACCAGCCUCAGCCUAGGGUCCUCUUUGCAAAACUACAGCUGGAGAACGACACACAGACCACGUGGUAUGGUUCUAAUUCCUCUGACAUCUCAUUUUCAUUCUUUGAUGGUAUUUGUCUGCAUCCAGCUUACACACAAAUGUUUCCAGUAAAACACUCUGAGUGUCUUUUUCAGAAAUCCGA
This is a long non-coding RNA of Phacochoerus africanus (Common warthog), 1521 nucleotides long. RefSeq lists it as uncharacterized. Lineage: Eukaryota; Metazoa; Chordata; Mammalia; Artiodactyla; Suidae. The transcript has 4 exons. The record is from RefSeq and is a predicted model, not a curated record.